RNAcentral lists this long non-coding RNA (214 nucleotides) under Mytilus galloprovincialis (Mediterranean mussel). The record is from RNAcentral. Lineage: Eukaryota; Metazoa; Mollusca; Bivalvia; Mytilida; Mytilidae.
GCCCUGUUUAUACCUGAUUAAAACAUAUCAAGUUUCAAAGGUUAAUACUGAAAUAUCAUUGAUUUUGAAUAAUUGGCACAAUUCUCUAAAUAUCAGCAAAUCUGGAAUCAUAUAUAGUGUUGAGAUCCAAGGUCGAUGUCACCUUAGCUUAAGAUAUAGUAACAAGUAAAACAUCAAACUGUAUAGAUGUUGAGUGUUAUUAGAGUCAAAUAAU